Molecule: long non-coding RNA, 2956 nt
Filed under: Daphnia magna
Lineage: Eukaryota; Metazoa; Arthropoda; Branchiopoda; Diplostraca; Daphniidae
Description: uncharacterized LOC123474404, transcript variant X7
Source: RNAcentral
UGGAGUGGAAACAACGCCAGAUAACGCCCGGCAGACGCCCAUUUUUAUCAGUGAAGUUCUAGAAUCAUGUGUGUCAUGUCCCGUUAUUUUUAUUAGCUAGGGCAAUAGCAUCAGCAGUAUGGACCAUAGUUUUGCAAUUGCCACUGGUCCAUGGUGUAAAGUGAUUGUUCAGUGGAUACCAAGGACUUUGGAAUUCUUUUUCAUUGUUACUCCACUAUGGAUCCCUCUUAAGUCUCCAGUGAUAUCGGUCCUGAUACCGUAAUUUACCAGCUCUUUACCAGAAAAAAUGUAAAUGAGGCCUACAUUCUACAAUUAAAUAAUGUUUCAUUACUAGAACAGUCAAAUUAUAACAAAAGUCUUCCAACUAAAAUAUUUGCACAUGGUUGGGGUGGUUUUCCAGACCAAGGAUAUUCGUCUAAAGAUGAAUACCUACUCCAGGAGGACUGUAAUUUUAUAUCGGUGGACUGGUCUGUUCUAGCUGAAGGUGACCAUGUAACUGUUUCUUUAAUCAAUGUACCUAUAGCUGGAGCUGCAACUGGGGCAUUUGUGGAUAUUCUCAUUGGUCAAGGAACACCACUCUCAGAUUUUUUACUGAUAUUGUCCAACCAAUAUACAAUUUGUAUUGGAAGAUUUCACUUUAUAUUUAUGUAUUUUCAAAUGUUACAGAAUGUUGCAAUCACUGUCGCGUCGUGGACCUUUAUGCGGAAUCCAUCAACAGCCCCUUAGGCUUCAAUGCAUUUCAGUGCGAUUCGUGGGAAAAUUACCAAAAUGGAGAUUGCCAAGAAAACGUCAAUACGUUGAUGGGCGAACCAGUUUCAAUAAAUGUCCGAGGAUCGUUCCUUUUAGCAACAAACAGGGAAUCGCCGUUUGCCCAAGGAUGACUUUUAAACUUGGCUGAAAACGUCUCACCUCCAAUGAUUUAUCGACUGAAGUAGCUAGAAUGUUAUACAAGUCCACAAUAAUACCUUUACUCAGCAGCAUGAAAGAUGAAAUCCCCGCAUGCCAGUUGCCGGGCAAUAUUCAAGGAGUCCAAGUGUUACAGCAACAACAGGUGUAGGCGCUGUAACUGCUGGAGGUGUUAGCUACCUCCAAUGGAUGGUAAGCAACCCACCCGAAGAUUGAUAUGACGACGAUGCGGUUAACACUAAACAUCUAUCAACACAUUCUUCAUCUUCCUCGGCACUUGGGAAGCAGGUUGAAACUAGACCAGUUUUCCGGUGUCCAAAACCGACCACGAAUCCAAUUCUUGUCCAUGUAUUCCAGCAGCCUUGCCAGUUCCUGUGGUGCUGAGUCCCGCAAACCGUCAAAUACGGAAGGAAGAUACGCAAGGCAAAGAAGACGGAAUACAAAAUCUCGAAUUGGAUUGGGCCCUUUUUUGUUAUAAGCUGAAGAAAGCUUUAGGUCGCGAAUCUUCUUCAAGAUAGCUUGACACCAAUGGAAAUUGCAUCCUUGGUGGAUGCAAUUUCCAAAAAGCAAUUUCCAAAUAAUCGAAGGUUCAUCCCUUCUAAUGAUCCGUGACUCACUGGAAAGAUAGUGAUCCAAACCAAUAAAUUCCGAUAAACAAAAGCUCAUCAAUAUGAAUGAGUCAUUCAUGUUCAUUAAAGAAAAUUCUAGAACCGACAAAGAUAAAGGUAUUUAUUUGCGGGAUACUGCUUGCAAAUACGCUUACUGGUAAUUGUUUCCUACCAAAUUUUUAUACUGGUCAUCUUCCAUAGCUACCAGAAACUUAGAAGUUAAUACUUUAUAUUGUGUGGUUCAUAAAAAAAUUUAACAAAAAUUAAACAGCAAUCAUUGUUUAUUAAUGUAAUGCAUCGUACAUAACGUAAUGCAUACCCUAUUACAUCGGGAAAGGGUGCAAGAAUGCAGCAGAAAACUAACACGUAUGAUGAUAUUCAACAUUACCAAGCUUACAGAAUAUUCAUCAAUUUUUCAUAAAAUGAGCUGUAUAAAUCACUUCAUAUACAAUGCAUUAAUGCAAGAAAAUAAAAAAUCGGAGUUAAAACAAAAUUUUUUUGGCUGUUUCAAUGUAUGCAUAAACGCCAACGCUGUUCUGUCGGCUGAAAACUAUAUAACCCGUGCCUGUACGAAGCCGGAUAGGACCUACGAAGGGGAGAAAUAGGACCCAUCUAGCGGAGAAAUAGGACCCUAAAAAGAAAGUUUGAAAAGGGGGGCCUAUUUCUCCGGGUCCUAUUUCUCCAUGGCUUUUUCUUGGGUCCUAUAUCUCCGGGUCCUAUCUGUCGGGGUCCUAUUUCUCCGGCUACCGACCUUGUGGGCAAUCAUUUUUGUUUCUCAGGGAAAGAAUGUGUUAGCAGCAAUUGCCUUUUCAGCUGCCUUAAACUUUAAGCAGAUGGAGUUGUAUCAUGCAAUACUUCUAUUUGCUGGCUUCUAUUUGCUGGCUUCCUGUCAACCUAAAGGUUCCUCACUUCCCUCCCAACUAAAGAAUUUGGUCCAGAUUGGCGCUGCCACAGUGGCGACCUUUGCAAUCAUUUGCGUGGAAUCUUUGAAGACUAUGUCGCCAAUUUUUGGUGCACGCUAAAUGUUGUGAUCAAAAUCAAACGACUAUUAAACCCAACCUCAAUCGCCUCGGGAACUAUCACCUAGGCCAUGCCCGUGCCUGAAAGAAAAAGUCAGGACGUUGAUUCGAACGGAUUCGAAUGCAACGAGCACUAAGUACGGUCACAUUAUUGGAGGAAUGACCGUGUGCUUGGUUCGUGAUUUGGAGUCACAAGUGAUAGCUGCAAGCUGAUAUCACUCGAACCACUGCACCAACCCGACUAAGCGUAUACUUACCUAUCAUACUUACCAUACGAAAUUUGCUUCAUCAAGUCUUUUAUACUGUCUCAUAGAUGAUCGAAAAAAGCUGCAGCUCAUUAUGGCGUCAGUUUAGCUUUAAUGCUAAAUUUCGCAAACACGGUGAACUAGAUUGACAAUAAUAAAAAAUGAACUUUAUUCGUCA